UACGGGAGGCAGCAGUGGGGAAUAUUGCACAAUGGGCGCAAGCCUGAUGCAGCCAUGCCGCGUGUAUGAAAAAGGCCUUCGGGUUGUAAAGUACUUUCAGUCGUGAGGAAGGUGUUAAGGUUAAUAACUUUAGCAAUUGACGUUAGCGACAGAAGAAGCACCGGCUAACUCCGUGCCAGCAGCCGCGGUAAUACGGAGGGUGCGAGCGUUAAUCGGAAUUACUGGGCGUAAAGGGCACGCAGGCGGUUAAUUAAGUUGGAUGUGAAAUCCCCGGGCUUAACCUGGGAAUGGCAUUCAAGACUGGUUAGCUAGAGUCUUGUAGAGGGGGUAGAAUUCCAUGUGUAGCGGUGAAAUGCGUAGAGAUGUGGAGGAAUACCGGUGGCGAAGGCGGCCCCUGGACAAAGACUGACGCUCAUGUGCGAAAGCGUGGGGAGCAAACAGGGAUUAGAUACC
This 453-nucleotide ribosomal RNA is filed under the name uncultured bacterium. RNAcentral's name for it is "bacterial SSU rRNA". It matches the Rfam family "Bacterial small subunit ribosomal RNA", at positions 340 to 786 of the family's 1533-position model. The record is from RNAcentral.